Molecule: ribosomal RNA, 105 nt
Filed under: uncultured bacterium
Lineage: Bacteria
Description: partial 16S ribosomal RNA
Rfam family: Bacterial small subunit ribosomal RNA
Source: RNAcentral
CCUUGUACACACCGCCCGUCACACCAUGGGAGUUGGUUCUACCCGAAGACGAUGCGCCAACCGCGAAGGGGGCAGUCGGCCACGGUAGGGUCAGCGACUGGGGUG